CCUACGGGGGGCAGCAGUGGGGAAUAUUGGACAAUGGGGGGAACCCUGAUCCAGCCAUGCCGCGUGUGUGAAGAAGGCCCUCGGGUUGUAAAGCACUUUCAGUGAGGAAGAACGCCUGGUGGUUAAUACCCAUCAGGAAAGACAUCACUCACAGAAGAAGCACCGGCUAACUCCGUGCCAGCAGCCGCGGUAAUACGGAGGGUGCGAGCGUUAAUCGGAAUUACUGGGCGUAAAGCGCGCGUAGGUGGCUUGAUAAGCCGGUUGUGAAAGCCCCGGGCUCAACCUGGGAACGGCAUCCGGAACUGUCAAGCUAGAGUGCAAGAGAGGAAGGUAGAAUUCCCGGUGUAGCGGGGAAAUGCGUAGAGAUCGGGAGGAAUACCAGUGGCGAAGGCGGCCUUCUGGACUGACACUGACACUGAGGUGCGAAAGCGUGGGUAGCAAACAGGAUUAGAUAACCUAGUAGUC
This 465-nucleotide ribosomal RNA is filed under the name Vreelandella stevensii. RNAcentral describes it as "partial 16S ribosomal RNA". It matches the Rfam family "Bacterial small subunit ribosomal RNA", at positions 338 to 795 of the family's 1533-position model. The record is from RNAcentral. Lineage: Bacteria; Pseudomonadati; Pseudomonadota; Gammaproteobacteria; Oceanospirillales; Halomonadaceae.